AAAGUGCGAUAACUCAGGUGAACCGCAACUGGCGCGACUCCUUGAAUUUUUGAACGCAAAGUGUGCCCCGGUGUAACAGCCGGGGCGUGUUUGCAUGAGCGUUUUAUACAAAAUAUCACUACCUUCGUGUACGUGGACGUGGGCUCUGCGGUUAGUUCCGCACUGCCUUAAAUACAUUGGCGGAUCGUACGGCGUUGCCCACAUCGAUCCCCGUCGUCAAGUUAAGGUCUUGAAUGUGGCCGAGGCGGGCGGUGGGGUCUUUCGUGAUUGUCGGCGGUCUGGGCGUCGGAGCCCUACGUCAGAACCCUUCGGGGGAUGUUUACUCAACUUCUGAACCUCAUGUCAAGCACGGCUACCCGCUGAAUUUAA
Molecule: unclassified non-coding RNA, 369 nt
Filed under: uncultured fungus
Lineage: Eukaryota; Fungi
Description: sequence contains ITS1
Rfam family: 5.8S ribosomal RNA (bases 1-104)
Source: RNAcentral